CCUAUCAAAGAGUUGGACACUCACGACAAGCUGAUCGAAGAAUGAGGGAAACUUGCGGAGGACCUCAUGAUGAUCCUCCUAAACAAUGGAUACGAAAGGCAUAUAUUUCAGAUAGGAUCAAAUCUAAAUAAGGUAAUUCAAAACCAACUAGCUUCCUUUUUGCAGAAAAAUAUAGAUAUCUUUAUCUAAUCAACAACAGAUAUUCUCAAAAUUGAUCUAGAAAUAAUAAUACACUAGCUGCAUACGGACCGCCUCCACCAACCCAUCAAGCAGAAGAAGUG
RNAcentral lists this long non-coding RNA (281 nucleotides) under Elaeis guineensis (African oil palm). RNAcentral describes it as "long non-coding RNA (EGUI_LNC027136)". Lineage: Eukaryota; Viridiplantae; Streptophyta; Magnoliopsida; Arecales; Arecaceae. The record is from RNAcentral.